This 115-nucleotide ribosomal RNA is filed under the name Propithecus coquereli (Coquerel's sifaka). The record is from RNAcentral. Lineage: Eukaryota; Metazoa; Chordata; Mammalia; Primates; Indriidae.
GUGUAUGGCCAUACCACCCUGAAUGUGCCCGAUCUCAUCUGAUCUUGGAAGCUAAACAGGGUUUAGCCUGGUUAAUACUUGGAUGGGAGACUAUAGAUAUGUGGAUUUAUUUCUN